CAAUAGCGUAUAUUAAAGUUGUUGCGGUUAAAAAGCUCGUAGUUGGAUUUCUGCUGAGAACGAUCGGUCCGCCCUUUGGGUGUGUAUCUGGCUCUUUCUUGGCAUCUUCUUGGUGAACGUUGCUGCACUUGACUGUGUGGAGCGCUACCCAGGACUUUUACUUUGAGGAAAUUAGAGUGUUUCAAGCAGGCAUACGCCUUGAAUACAUUAGCAUGGAAUAAUAAGAUAGGACCUCGGUUCUAUUUUGUUGGUUUCUAGAGCUGAGGUAAUGAUUAAUAGGGAUAGUUGGGGGCAUUCGUAUUUAACUGUCAGAGGUGAAAUUCUUGGAUUUGUUAAAGAUGGACUACUGCGAAAGCAUUUGCCAAGGAUGUUUUCAUUG
RNAcentral lists this ribosomal RNA (379 nucleotides) under uncultured eukaryote. Its description in RNAcentral is "partial 18S ribosomal RNA". It matches the Rfam family "Eukaryotic small subunit ribosomal RNA", at positions 592 to 975 of the family's 1831-position model. The record is from RNAcentral.